RNAcentral lists this ribosomal RNA (559 nucleotides) under Chaetomium globosum. Its description in RNAcentral is "eukaryotic LSU rRNA". The stretch from base 151 to 304 matches the Rfam family "5.8S ribosomal RNA". The record is from RNAcentral. Lineage: Eukaryota; Fungi; Ascomycota; Sordariomycetes; Sordariales; Chaetomiaceae.
CGAGUUAUACAACUCAUCAACCCUGUGAACAUACCUAAAACGUUGCCUCGGCGGGAACAGACGGCCCCGUAACACGGGCCGCCCCCGCCAGAGGACCCCCUAACUCUGUUUCUAUAAUGUUUCUUCUGAGUAAACAAGCAAAUAAAUUAAAACUUUCAACAACGGAUCUCUUGGCUCUGGCAUCGAUGAAGAACGCAGCGAAAUGCGAUAAGUAAUGUGAAUUGCAGAAUUCAGUGAAUCAUCGAAUCUUUGAACGCACAUUGCGCCCGCCAGUAUUCUGGCGGGCAUGCCUGUUCGAGCGUCAUUACAACCCUCAGGCCCCCGGGCCUGGCGUUGGGGAUCGGCGGAAGCCCCCUGCGGGCACAACGCCGUCCCCCAAAUACAGUGGCGGUCCCGCCGCAGCUUCCAUUGCGUAGUAGCUAACACCUCGCAACUGGAGAGCGGCGCGGCCACGCCGUAAAACACCCAACUUCUGAAUGUUGACCUCGAAUCAGGUAGGAAUACCCGCUGAACUUAAGCAUAUCAAUAAGCGGAGGAAAUCGAAUUCCCGCGGCCGCCA